This is a non-coding RNA of Triticum urartu, 115 nucleotides long. The record is from Rfam. NCBI's taxonomy places the organism in Eukaryota, Viridiplantae, Streptophyta, Magnoliopsida, Poales, Poaceae.
CUUAUACUCCCUCCGUUCCAAAUUACUCGUCACAGAAAUGGAUGUAUGUAGAACUAAAAUACAUCUAGAUACAUCCAUAUCUGCGACAACUAAUUCGGAACAGAGGGAGUAUAUA